This 1347-nucleotide ribosomal RNA is filed under the name Triticum aestivum (bread wheat). RNAcentral's name for it is "partial small subunit ribosomal RNA". Lineage: Eukaryota; Viridiplantae; Streptophyta; Magnoliopsida; Poales; Poaceae. The record is from RNAcentral.
AUGCUCUCCACGGCCACCGUAGCGCCAUGGAAGCGACUCUGCAAGCUCGUAUCCAACGGACACUACCAGGAAGCGCUCCUCGCCUACUCUCGUGCCCACGCGUCCAACCUCCGUCCGGACGCCUUCACCUUCCCCUGCCUCCUCAAGUCCUGCGCCGCGCUCAAGGAUACCCCCGCCGUGCUCCAAGUCCACGGUCACCUCGCCAAGUCGGGCUUCUCCUCCUGCCCCUACACGGCCACCGCCCUAACGAGCGCCUAUGCCAGGCUCCUCCGUCUCGGGGAGGCAUGCAAGGUGUUCGAUGAAAUGCGGGAAAGAAACGUGCCCUGCUUCAAUGCUCUCAUCGCGGGGUUCUCGCAGUGCGGAAAGGUUGAUGAAGCGAUGGGUGUAUUUAGGCUCCUCGGGAAAGAGGGGAUACUGCCGGACUCUGUCACAGUGGCGAGUGUGCUACCUGCGUGUCGGGCCAUGGAGCAAGGGAAGCAGCUGCACGGGCUUGUAGUGAAGACCGGUGAUUGUUUGGAUCGCCAUGUUGCCACAUCCCUCAUCACAAUGUACUUGGAUUGUGGUGAUUCGGAUGGCGCAAGGAGGAUUCUUGAAUUCAUGGUUGAUAAGGGCGUCGAGAGUUACAAUGCAAUGGCUUCUGGACUGUUGAGGAAUGGUGAAGAUUUUAUAGCUUUGGGUACUCUCAGGGAAAUGAUAUUUGGAUCCAGCGAAAAACCUAAUGAGGCUACUUUGCUGGUAGUCCUCUCAACGUGCACUAGUGUGUUGGCACCAUCACUUGGUAAAGAGGUCCAUUGCUAUGUCCUGAAGCAUGCAAUGGAUUGCAGUAUCAAGAUCAGGACUGCACUCAUUGACAUGUACUCAAAAUGUGGUUCUCUGGAGUGUGCUUACCAGGUUUUCUCUGCCAUGGAUGAGCGGAACUUGGUGACCUGGAAUACGAUGAUCUCAGGUUUUCUGAUACACGAGAAGCUUGCAAACGCCUUAGGGUUGUUCCAACAGCUGAGGUUGAAAGGCUUCAGCCCUGACAGUAUUACAUGGAAUCUGAUGAUUAAUGGGCUUGCACAUCACCAGAAGUUUGCUGAGGUUUUCUCAUUUUUCAAUAAGAUGCGGUUGGAGGGAGUCUCAGGUGCAAGUCUGGAAACCAUGACAAGUAUGUUGAGUGCUUGUUCAGCUAUGUCAGAUAUCAAGCAUGGGAAGGAAAUAUAUUGCCAUGUUAUUCGAACAAUGCAACACUUUGAGGAUGAUGUUUUCCAGACAACAGUGAUUGACAUGUCUCCUUCGAUGGGGGAUAUGAUGUUGGAGGCCGGUGAGAGCGGCCAAAAAUGGUUGACAAUUGUAUGGGCUCUGUAG